RNAcentral lists this ribosomal RNA (574 nucleotides) under Saccharomyces cerevisiae (brewer's yeast). Its description in RNAcentral is "eukaryotic LSU rRNA". It matches the Rfam family "Eukaryotic large subunit ribosomal RNA", at positions 68 to 655 of the family's 3401-position model. The record is from RNAcentral. Lineage: Eukaryota; Fungi; Ascomycota; Saccharomycetes; Saccharomycetales; Saccharomycetaceae.
ACACGGGCCAUUGCCUUAGUACGGCGAGUGAGCGGCAAAAGCUCAAAUUUGAAAUCUGGUACCUUCGGUGCCCGAGUUGUAAUUUGGAGAGGGCAACUUUGGGGCCGUUCCUUGUCUAUGUUCCUUGGAACAGGACGUCAUAGAGGGUGAGAAUCCCGUGUGGCGAGGAGUGCGGUUCUUUGUAAAGUGCCUUCGAAGAGUCGAGUUGUUUGGGAAUGCAGCUCUAAGUGGGUGGUAAAUUCCAUCUAAAGCUAAAUAUUGGCGAGAGACCGAUAGCGAACAAGUACAGUGAUGGAAAGAUGAAAAGAACUUUGAAAAGAGAGUGAAAAAGUACGUGAAAUUGUUGAAAGGGAAGGGCAUUUGAUCAGACAUGGUGUUUUGUGCCCUCUGCUCCUUGUGGGUAGGGGAAUCUCGCAUUUCACUGGGCCAGCAUCAGUUUUGGUGGCAGGAUAAAUCCAUAGGAAUGUAGCUUGCCUCGGUAAGUAUUAUAGCCUGUGGGAAUACUGCCAGCUGGGACUGAGGACUGCGACGUAAGUCAAGGAUGCUGGCAUAAUGGUUAUAUGCCGCCCGUCUU